GACGAACGCUGGCGGCGUGCCUAAUACAUGCAAGUAGAACGCACAGUUUAUACCGUAGCUUGCUACACCAUAGACUGUGAGUUGCGAACGGGUGAGUAACGCGUAGGUAACCUGCCUGGUAGCGGGGGAUAACUAUUGGAAACGAUAGCUAAUACCGCAUAAUAUUGAUUAUUGCAUGAUAAUUAAUUGAAAGGUGCAAUUGCACCACUACCAGAUGGACCUGCGUUGUAUUAGCUAGUAGGUGAGGUAACGGCUCACCUAGGCGACGAUACAUAGCCGACCUGGGAGGGUGAUCGGCCACACUGGGACUGAGACACGGCCCAGACUCCUACGGGAGGCAGCAGUAGGGAAUCUUCGGCAAUGGACGAAAGGCUGAACGGGCAACGCCGCGGGAGGGAAGAAGGGUUUCGGAUCGUAAAGCUCUGUUGUAAGAGAAGAACGGGUGUGAGAGUGGAAAGUUCACACUGUGACGGUAUCUUACCAGAAAGGGACGGCUAACUACGUG
Molecule: ribosomal RNA, 505 nt
Filed under: uncultured bacterium
Lineage: Bacteria
Description: partial 16S ribosomal RNA
Rfam family: Bacterial small subunit ribosomal RNA
Source: RNAcentral